Molecule: ribosomal RNA, 191 nt
Filed under: uncultured bacterium
Lineage: Bacteria
Description: partial 16S ribosomal RNA
Rfam family: Bacterial small subunit ribosomal RNA
Source: RNAcentral
GUGCCAGCCGCCGCGGUAAUACGUAGGUGGCAAGCGUUAUCCGGAAUUAUUGGGCGUAAAGCGCGCGCAGGCGGUUUCUUAAGUCUGAUGUGAAAGCCCCCGGCUCAACCUGGGAGGGUCAUUGGAAACUGGGAGACUUGAGUGCAGAAGAGGAAAGUGGAAUUCCAUGUGUAGCGGUGAAAUGCGUAGAG